This is a non-coding RNA of Caenorhabditis elegans, 121 nucleotides long. The record is from Ensembl. Lineage: Eukaryota; Metazoa; Nematoda; Chromadorea; Rhabditida; Rhabditidae.
CAGAAACUGAGCACAAGAGCAUUCAGCAUUCCGCGCGAUGUCGUCGUUGCCGCAGCUGGCUGCGUCCGUCAUUUUUCCUUUUCUUUCUUUUUCUUUUCUUUGCAACGAAGGGCACUGACAG